GUUUUAAUAGUUUAAUUGAAAAAUUUUAAAUUGCAAAUUUAAAGAUAAUAGUUGUAUAUUUUAAGAUU
This 68-nucleotide transfer RNA is filed under the name Vespa affinis (lesser banded hornet). RNAcentral's name for it is "tRNA-Cys". The record is from RNAcentral. Lineage: Eukaryota; Metazoa; Arthropoda; Insecta; Hymenoptera; Vespidae.